GACCACGUAGCUCAGUUGGUAGAGCAUUGUGCUAGUAUUCCAAAGGUUGUAGGUUUGAUUCCCACCGUGGUCA
Paramuricea clavata is the source of this 73-nucleotide non-coding RNA. The record is from the annotation of a GenBank genome assembly. NCBI's taxonomy places the organism in Eukaryota, Metazoa, Cnidaria, Anthozoa, Malacalcyonacea, Plexauridae.